RNAcentral lists this transfer RNA (77 nucleotides) under Acidobacteriota bacterium. RNAcentral's name for it is "Acidobacteria bacterium (hot springs metagenome) tRNA-Pro". It matches the Rfam family "tRNA". Rfam says of the family: Transfer RNA (tRNA) molecules are approximately 80 nucleotides in length. Their secondary structure includes four short double-helical elements and three loops (D, anti-codon, and T loops). RNAcentral also lists the same sequence under 1 other name. Lineage: Bacteria; Pseudomonadati; Acidobacteriota. The record is from RNAcentral.
CGGGGCGUGGCUCAGCUUGGUAGAGCACCUGCCUUGGGAGCAGGGGGUCGCAGGUUCAAAUCCUGCCGCUCCGACCA